AGCCGAAACCUGACAGCAGUAGUUGUCAGGUCUGCCGGAGACGGUCUACCGGCACUGAUGAUGGCAGACCAAA
RNAcentral lists this non-coding RNA (73 nucleotides) under Ruminococcus sp. The record is from RNAcentral. Lineage: Bacteria; Bacillati; Bacillota; Clostridia; Eubacteriales; Oscillospiraceae.